CGUGUAGGCGGUCUGUUAAGUCUGAUGUGAAAGCCCCGGGCUCAACCCGGGAAGUGCAUUGGAUACUGGCAGACUUGAGUACGGGAGAGGGAAGUGGAAUUCCGAGUGUAGGGGUGAAAUCCGUAGAUAUUCGGAGGAACACCGGUGGCGAAGGCGGCUUCCUGGACCGAUACUGACGCUGAGACGCGAAAGCGUGGGGAGCAAACA
Molecule: ribosomal RNA, 207 nt
Filed under: uncultured delta proteobacterium
Lineage: Bacteria; Deltaproteobacteria
Description: partial 16S ribosomal RNA
Rfam family: Bacterial small subunit ribosomal RNA
Source: RNAcentral